RNAcentral lists this ribosomal RNA (253 nucleotides) under uncultured bacterium. Its description in RNAcentral is "partial 16S ribosomal RNA". It matches the Rfam family "Bacterial small subunit ribosomal RNA", at positions 524 to 776 of the family's 1533-position model. The record is from RNAcentral.
GACGAACCGUGCAAACGUUGUUCGGAAUCACUGGGCUUAAAGGGCGCGUAGGCGGGCCAGCCAGUCUGUGGUGAAAUCCUCCAGCUUAACUGGAGAAGUGCCGUGGAUACUGCUGGCCUCGAGGAGGGUAGGGGCAUCUGGAACGGUCGGUGGAGCGGUGAAAUGCGUUGAUAUCGACCGGAACUCCGGUGGCGAAGGCGAGGUGCUGGACCCUUUCUGACGCUGAUGCGCGAAAGCCAGGGGAGCAAACGGG